This 424-nucleotide ribosomal RNA is filed under the name uncultured bacterium. Its description in RNAcentral is "bacterial SSU rRNA". It matches the Rfam family "Bacterial small subunit ribosomal RNA", at positions 355 to 776 of the family's 1533-position model. The record is from RNAcentral.
UGAGGAAUAUUGGUCAAUGGGCGCAAGCCUGAACCAGCCAUGCCGCGUGCAGGAUGACGGUCCUAUGGAUUGUAAACUGCUUUUGUACGAGAAGAAACACUACUUCGUGAAGUAGCUUGACGGUAUCGUAAGAAUAAGGAUCGGCUAACUCCGUGCCAGCAGCCGCGGUAAUACGGAGGAUCCAAGCGUUAUCCGGAAUCAUUGGGUUUAAAGGGUCCGUAGGCGGUCUUAUAAGUCAGUGGUGAAAUCUCCCCGCUCAACGGGGAAACUGCCAUUGAUACUGUAGGACUUGAAUUAUUAGGAAGUAACUAGAAUAUGUAGUGUAGCGGUGAAAUGCUUAGAGAUUACAUGGAAUACCAAUUGCGAAGGCAGGUUACUACUAAUUGAUUGACGCUGAUGGACGAAAGCGUGGGUAGCGAACAGG